This 549-nucleotide ribosomal RNA is filed under the name uncultured Ramlibacter sp. RNAcentral's name for it is "bacterial SSU rRNA". It matches the Rfam family "Bacterial small subunit ribosomal RNA", at positions 355 to 897 of the family's 1533-position model. The record is from RNAcentral. Lineage: Bacteria; Pseudomonadati; Pseudomonadota; Betaproteobacteria; Burkholderiales; Comamonadaceae.
UGGGGAAUCUUGCGCAAUGCGCGAAAGCGUGACGCAGCAACGCCGCGUGGGGGAAGAAGGCCUUCGGGUUGUAAACUGCUUUUGUACGGAACGAAACGGCCUGGGCUAAUACCUCGGGCUAAUGACGGUACCGUAAGAAUAAGCACCGGCUAACUACGUGCCAGCAGCCGCGGUAAUACGUAGGGUGCAAGCGUUAAUCGGAAUUACUGGGCGUAAAGCGUGCGCAGGCGGUGAUGUAAGACAGGUGUGAAAUCCCCGGGCUUAACCUGGGAACUGCAUUUGUGACUGCAUCGCUGGAGUGCGGCAGAGGGGGAUGGAAUUCCGCGUGUAGCAGUGAAAUGCGUAGAUAUGCGGAGGAACACCGAUGGCGAAGGCAAUCCCCUGGGCCUGCACUGACGCUCAUGCACGAAAGCGUGGGGAGCAAACAGGAUUAGAUACCCUGGUAGUCCACGCCCUAAACGAUGUCAACUGGUUGUUGGUCCUUCACUGGAUCAGUAACGAAGCUAACGCGUGAAGUUGACCGCCUGGGGAGUACGGCCGCAAGGUUGA